RNAcentral lists this transfer RNA (70 nucleotides) under Loxodonta africana (African savanna elephant). It matches the Rfam family "tRNA". From Rfam's summary of the family: Transfer RNA (tRNA) molecules are approximately 80 nucleotides in length. Their secondary structure includes four short double-helical elements and three loops (D, anti-codon, and T loops). Lineage: Eukaryota; Metazoa; Chordata; Mammalia; Proboscidea; Elephantidae. The record is from Rfam by way of RNAcentral.
GUGGUGGUAGUUUAGUGCUAGAAUUCUCACCUUCCAUGCGGGAGACCUGGGUUCAAUUCUAGCCAACGCA